AAAAGAAAAAGAAUAAUAAAAAGGAAAAUGUCAGUUUACAUUCUGCAAAACUACUUUUUUAAGAAAACAAAGACAGCUGGGUUUUGGCAGUCAGCAUUAAAUGCAACUGUUGUGUUGCUGUGCAUCAUCUCAGGACAGAAAAGUAUUAUAUAAUGCUUGUAGUUAAUGUAUUCUACUUAUGUCAGUCAGUAAGUGAUAGCAUGUCCUAUCUAAUUAAAUCCAGAUUUCAUGUGCAUCUCUUUGUUUGCUUACUGUGCAAAUAAUGGAAGCUAACAUUAAAGUAUUAAAAUCAGAUAAAAUUGCAUUUCAUAUUAAUACAGUGUGUGGAAAUGUAUAAUUUAAAAUAUAUCUUAUGAAAUGUAAUCUCUUUUACAUAUUGCAUACAGCUCUGAUAUUGAUCAAGAUAUUCCCGGGAGUGUAUGAUGAGAGGAGAAAUGGAGUAUGUUAUCCUUCCUCUAGGGAUAAGCUAGCUUAUUGCUGAUCUCUCACACUGCUUCUUUGAAUUAAACUGGUUCUUGUUUGGUUUGUUUUCUUGUUGUUGUUUAAGGAAGGUUAGUUUCAAAAAGGACUAUCAGAAUUAACUUCUCUCUAGUCAGAUAUUUUGCAGAGCAGUAGGUGGGCAAUCUGUGGCCUCUUCAGCUCUGUCCAUUUUCUGGUCCCACUGGGAUCAAUUCCUAAGACAGACUUUGCUUUAUUUUCCCACUUUCAGACAAACAAAGGCCCAGGGGAGCCAGCACUGUCUCGCUGACAAAGGCACAGAGUGGCUGGACUCGGUUUGAGGGCUGCCCUCGGCAAGGGGAGGGCGCUGUGAUGUGCUGCAGAACAGACAAGUUACUGCCUCUGAGUAGGGAGCACCUGCACACCUUGGAUGGACAGGUCAUGUUGUAGCUGCACUUUACCUUUGCUUGCAGUUUGAAAAUUCAGCCAGUUUAGAGACAGAAGAGGCUUUAAAUUACCUUCCUGAACACUGUGUCUUUCAGAUGGGUUCACACGUCAUUCACAUUGGUGUAAAUCCUCUGAAGCCAAUGGCAAUUGUGCUGGGCACAAAUGCAGUAUGAAUGAGGUCCUGUAUCACAUGUAGGGUCUUCUCUUUUUUGGAAUCUACCAUGCCAACAUUACCUAUUUGUGACUAAGAAUUUGCUUUUUAAAUUAUGAUUUUUUUUUACAGAAAUAUUCAAACAUAAUCGUCCUGUGCUACCUACACACACGUUUGUAAUCGAAAGUCUUUAAAAUCCUUCAGUCUUGUUCCUGUAAAUAUCUAUAUAGGUAUACUUGAGGCAGGCACUAUUAAAAUUAAGAAGUACUUUCAAAUUUAAGAGACACUAUAGGAUUAGAGCCUUACAUUUUAAUAUCCAACAUCAAUGCUUCAAAGAAAUUUAUUCAAACUUGUACAUCAGCAAUAUGUAAAGUGGCAGGUGUCCUCCUACAUAGCUAUCUGGUGUCUGGGGACCAAAAGCAAAAAUUAGUGAUAUAGGAAUCUGAAAACUGAAAUUAAAAAUGCAUUCACAAAAAGAUGACAUGAACAUUGCCUAUGUCACUGGAACAAUAACUAUUAUAGUUUUUCAGUUUUUUUGCUUUUUCAUUAAACCGGCAGUUAAAAAUGUUCAAAGAACAACAUUAUCUGAAAAAAAAAAAACCCUUAACUUUUUUCAUUCAGUGUUAUGUUUUCCUUUAGAGAAGCAAAAUUGUUUGCCAAAUGUGAGAUGAUUUCUUUGUUUAAAUCCUGACUGGCAGGAAAAAAAAAAUCUGCUCUCUGCUAAAAUUAUCUAAUUUUGUAGCUGUCUCAAGGAUGUGUCUCCUUUUAUCAGAUGAUGCCCUUUCUUCCUGGUUAGUGGAAUACUCACUGCACUCCACAAACAGUCACUUUGCAUUAUGUAGAUUAUUUUCCAAGAGAAGUGAAGAAGCAGGCUUUUGACAAUGAUGGAAACAACGAAGCAUGAAGAAAUCAGAGAAGAUCAAAGGUGCUCAUUAGUUUAGACGAUGGUUUGGUCAUUCAGAAUGCAUGUUUGCUUUGAACAUCAUUAUUCUAACUAAUGGAAGAAACUUCUUACUGUAUUGGCCCAGAGACAAAUCUAUUAGCACAAAGGAUAUUCCAGAAGUAAGUAAAGCCAACAGUAAACACCAGAGGCUUUUCCAGUGAAUGGGUGGAGAGAACACAGCCUUCCCACCAGAGAUCCAGCCAACACUUCAAAAGCUUCCACUCCCAGUUCCGUAUCAGCCACAUGCUGUGGGCUCAGGACUUCUAAAAAAAGACUAAGACGUGGAGAAAGACAAUCAAGCAAACAGGACUGGCAGUGCCCAGCAUAAGGUUGAGAAGCUGUGAUGCAGCACAGGAAAACUACAGAGCAACUUUGAGUGAUGACUUUAACCAACUCUUUGACCUUAACUCAGUCUUUUUAAUUAUUGUGAUUUUCUUUCUGUUUAUUGUGGGUUUUUUCAGAAUGUAUCUGCACUUUACAAAUGCUCCGUUUGCUUCAGUAGAAAGAGACAAAACAAACAAGCGAAAAACCAAGCCAAAAGUACAACCCCAAAGCUUGAAACUACGUAUUAGAUGGAGGAACGGCCAAAUUCCUCUUGCUCAGACUUCUCUCUUAUUCCCAGCCCUGUAUUCAGAAGGGAAAAAGCAAAAAAAAGUUGGCCUUGUUUCUAUGGUGCUUCAUCCAACCCUACCAACCCAACCAAAGCCUGGUAGUGUCUACACAUAUACCCAGGCAAUGUACCAGCCCCUACAGCUGGUCGGGUCUGCCAAUAAGCCCAUAUUCCUAGGGAGCUGCUGGAAGUGCUGUGCAAACCAGGUCCGGACACUCAGUCUGCCUUCCCCCAGGAAAGGGUAUAGUUCCUGUUGAAGUGAAAGACAAACUAUUUUCACAACCAGCUUCAUAAUAUGUCCGUAUUAUCUAUAAAAAAGUUGGAAGAUUUAUAAUACUUUCUUUAGUAGUAAAGUACAAAGGGGAAUGAAAAGCCACUUUUUGUUUCUUUGGUCUCUUUAUGAUCUGAAACCAGCAUCUGCCAAACAGGUUAUCAUUCACAUGUACAAAUUAGCUAUACUGCAAGAUUGAAAAAUUAAUUAAACCAUUGUUUAUUCAAUUACAUGCUGUGUCCCUUCUCUACCUAGAUAAACAAACUGAAUAAACUUCUGAAAGCUCUUA
Pseudopipra pipra is the source of this 3149-nucleotide long non-coding RNA. RefSeq lists it as uncharacterized. The record is from RefSeq and is a predicted model, not a curated record. NCBI's taxonomy places the organism in Eukaryota, Metazoa, Chordata, Aves, Passeriformes, Pipridae. The transcript has 4 exons.